CUGCUAACCCUCCCAUGAAACCUUUCCAUUUCAAUUUUGUAUAAAAGUAGCAAAAAAACUGACUUUAAUAAUGAAACUCCAAAACCCACCUGCAAUUAUACACCUAAUACAGCACAUAAAGCAAACCAAUCACAAAACCCCUAAAUCUUACUCUCCAUAAUUGCCGAAACCUAUCCCCAAACCCCCCACACAUCGACGCCACUACAACAAACCCCGACAGUGCCGCCGCG
RNAcentral lists this long non-coding RNA (230 nucleotides) under Malus domestica (apple). RNAcentral's name for it is "long non-coding RNA (MDOM_LNC006746)". Lineage: Eukaryota; Viridiplantae; Streptophyta; Magnoliopsida; Rosales; Rosaceae. The record is from RNAcentral.